GGGGCUGAUCGGUUUCGACAGUGCUUGUGAAUCUGCGAGAAGCGGGCCGAGGAUGCAGGGUUAUCUCGUAAACGCCCCCUGCAAAAACAAUAAGUGCCAACGCUAAGCGCACUGACUUCGCCCUCGCUGCCUAAGCGAGCCCGAUAGUCCGUCAGACCGUGGGUGAUCCCGACACGGAUUCUGGCGUCAUCUAGGGAUCUUGCUGCGUGACGGUGUCGAGACGUCACGCGGGACUUUUCCUCGACUGGGCUCGUCGACCUAUGUGUCUGUGCUGAAGGUCGGAGCCGAGUAGAACGCCCUCACAGACUGCGCCCGGAGAAGCCCCAGAGACUCAGCAUUGGACGGGGGUUCGAUUCCCCCCAGCUCCACCG
This 371-nucleotide transfer-messenger RNA is filed under the name Microbacterium sediminis. RNAcentral describes it as "Standard tmRNA". It matches the Rfam family "transfer-messenger RNA". From Rfam's summary of the family: Bacterial tmRNA, also known as 10Sa RNA or SsrA, is named for its dual tRNA and mRNA-like properties. Its role is to liberate the mRNA from a stalled ribosome. Lineage: Bacteria; Bacillati; Actinomycetota; Actinomycetes; Micrococcales; Microbacteriaceae. The record is from Rfam by way of RNAcentral.